Molecule: long non-coding RNA, 174 nt
Organism: Perognathus longimembris pacificus (Pacific pocket mouse)
Lineage: Eukaryota; Metazoa; Chordata; Mammalia; Rodentia; Heteromyidae
Exons: 2
Source: RefSeq, a predicted model, not a curated record
GAGAGAGAGAGAGAGAGAGAGAGAGAGAGAGAGAGAGAGAGGGGAGAAUGGGAGAAAGGGGGAGAAGGGAAGAGAGGAGAGGGAGAAGAGGAGAAAAGAGGGAGAGGCCAAGUCAGUCAGCAAGCCAUUCAACCAUAAUAUGUCUACUAUAGUUCACAUGAAUUUUUGAUUAAG